Platichthys flesus (European flounder) is the source of this 555-nucleotide long non-coding RNA. RefSeq lists it as uncharacterized. The record is from RefSeq and is a predicted model, not a curated record. The transcript is spliced from 4 exons. NCBI's taxonomy places the organism in Eukaryota, Metazoa, Chordata, Actinopteri, Pleuronectiformes, Pleuronectidae.
AUUCGCUCCGGACUAAACUGAGGGAGAGAAGCGUCACCUCAGCCCCAGACUCCGCCCUCAUCAGCCCGACCCCACCCUGCGCCUGCUCCGCGCUCCACACACACACCACCGUGCUGCUGGGGAACCUCCCAGCCAGAGUCGUUGUACUAAAGCAGCGAGAGUCACAAAAGAACUACAUGUCCCAUGAUGCCCCGCGCGGUCAAGAUGAGCGAAUGGAACUCGGAGCGGAGCAGCGGCGGUGACAGCUGAGUUUACUGACAGAGACACUGACGCGACCACGGACCGACUCAGGUGAAACCAACAUGACACACUCGGGACAGGACAGAAGCCGGCCGGUAAAGCAGCACUAGAGAUCAUUUAAUUUAAUGGGAAUACACUAAACCAGACAGUUCCCUCUCCUGCACAGAUCAUCACAUGCUAACGACUGCAGGCUCACAGCAAUCACACAGAUUUUUAAACCUGAUGCCCUGAGAGCCUUUCUUAUCUCCCUGAGCCACCAGGGGGCCUCAGUCCCACAGUGGCACAAGUGUAGCCUUCAGUUUGUCUUCAUCCUGA